RNAcentral lists this transfer RNA (70 nucleotides) under Sphaerodactylus townsendi. RNAcentral describes it as "tRNA-Ala". Lineage: Eukaryota; Metazoa; Chordata; Lepidosauria; Squamata; Sphaerodactylidae. The record is from RNAcentral.
GGCUGUGGCUCAGUGGAAGAGCUGCUGCUUUGCAUUCAGAAGGUCACAGGUUCCACUCUUGGCAUCGCCA